Molecule: ribosomal RNA, 343 nt
Filed under: Echinacea laevigata
Lineage: Eukaryota; Viridiplantae; Streptophyta; Magnoliopsida; Asterales; Asteraceae
Description: eukaryotic LSU rRNA
Rfam family: 5.8S ribosomal RNA (bases 1-84)
Source: RNAcentral
UGCAGAAUCCCGUGAACCAUCGAGUUUUUGAACGCAAGUUGCGCCCGAAGCCAUCCGGUUGAGGGCACGUCUGCCUGGGCGUCACGCAUCACGUUGCCCCCCAAACAUCUAUUUAGAUGUUCUGGUUGGGGCGGAGAUUGGUCUCCCGUGCCACUUGCAUGGUUGACCUAAAUAUGAGUCUCCUCACGAGAGACGCACGGCUAGUGGUGGUUGAUAACACAGUCGUCUCGUGCCGUACGUUUAUGUUUGUGAGUGUCUAGACUUGUGAAAAACCUGACGCGUCGUCUUNAGAUGAUGCUUCGAUCGCGACCCCAGGUCAGGCGGGACUACCCGCUGAGUUUAA